Exaiptasia diaphana is the source of this 410-nucleotide long non-coding RNA. RefSeq lists it as uncharacterized. Lineage: Eukaryota; Metazoa; Cnidaria; Anthozoa; Actiniaria; Aiptasiidae. The record is from RefSeq and is a predicted model, not a curated record. The transcript is spliced from 3 exons.
AUUCGGGGCUUCGUUGCCCAACAUUUUACCAAAAUUUACCGGAUUUGUCGUUAUUAAGCUUUAUCAGGACUAGACUAGAUGUUUGUUCAAUACUUGAGGAGUGCUAAGUUGUUAUAUAGAAUAAGCAUUUUGACAGAGCUCAUGAUGCAUGGUCGUGUUGAGAAUCUUGGGUCAAAGAUGCUGAGUGGAGAUCUCAUGAUCAAUGUGCCACGCAUGCGUUCAAGAACUAUUGAAAAUAUCCAGAUUUGGACCUAAGAUGAAACACUCAACAAGGCUAAAACCAGAAUCAACAGCAUGGAGACUAUAAGAAUAGUAAUAUUUGUUAUCCAAACAAAAACAAAAAACAAAACAAAAAAAACAGGAUUUGUCAUUUGUAUUAAACAACCAAAUAAAAGAAAAAAAUGAGUUUA